ACGGAGGAUGCGAGCGUUAUCCGGAUUUAUUGGGUUUAAAGGGUGCGUAGGCGGGCUGCCAAGUCAGCGGUAAAAUUGCGGGGCUCAACCCCGUCGAGCCGUUGAAACUGGCGGUCUUGAGUGGGCGAGAAGUAUGCGGAAUGCGUGGUGUAGCGGUGAAAUGCAUAGAUAUCACGCAGAACUCCGAUUGCGAAGGCAGCAUACCGGCGCCCGACUGACGCUGAAGCACGAAAGCGUGGGUAUCG
RNAcentral lists this ribosomal RNA (245 nucleotides) under uncultured bacterium. RNAcentral describes it as "partial 16S ribosomal RNA". It matches the Rfam family "Bacterial small subunit ribosomal RNA", at positions 525 to 770 of the family's 1533-position model. The record is from RNAcentral.